AUGAACGCUGGCGGCGUGCCUAAUACCUGCAAGUCGAGCGAACGGACGAGAAGCUUGCUUCUCUGAUGUUAGCGGCGGACGGGUGAGUAACACGUGGAUAACCUACCUAUAAGACUGGGAUAACUUCGGGAAACCGGAGCUAAUACCGGAUAAUAUUUUGAACCGCAUGGUUCAAAAGUGAAAGACGGUCUUGCUGUCACUUAUAGAUGGAUCCGCGCUGCAUUAGCUAGUUGGUAAGGUAACGGCUUACCAAGGCAACGAUGCAUAGCCGACCUGAGAGGGUGAUCGGCCACACUGGAACUGAGACACGGUCCAGACUCCUACGGGAGGCAGCAGUAGGGAAUCUUCCGCAAUGGGCGAAAGCCUGACGGAGCAACGCCGCGUGAGUGAUGAAGGUCUUCGGAUCGUAAAACUCUGUUAUUAGGGAAGAACAUAUGUGUAAGUAACUGUGCGCAUCUUGACGGUACCUAAUCAGAAAGCCACGGCUAACUACGUG
RNAcentral lists this ribosomal RNA (496 nucleotides) under uncultured bacterium. Its description in RNAcentral is "partial 16S ribosomal RNA". It matches the Rfam family "Bacterial small subunit ribosomal RNA", at positions 29 to 507 of the family's 1533-position model. The record is from RNAcentral.